Molecule: long non-coding RNA, 1990 nt
Filed under: Pan troglodytes (chimpanzee)
Lineage: Eukaryota; Metazoa; Chordata; Mammalia; Primates; Hominidae
Description: long non-coding RNA NONPTRT008311
Source: RNAcentral
CCCCCCCCAACUUCCACUCCAGGGGGUCUGUAAGUAACCUGGGGUUCAGCCUCUGCUCCUGAGACCCCCCAACUUCCACUUUAGGGGGUCUGUAAGUAAUCCGGGGUUCAGCCUCUGCUCCUGAGACCCCCCAGCUUCCACUCCAGGAGAUCCUUACCCCACUGCUGUUGGAAGCUUGGGGCCUGUUCUGGGAGCCUGUGUCUGAACCUCUUACCGGGGAUCCAUCUCUGAACCCUGUGCAGCCUGGCCCUGGCCCCAGGGGUAUAGGAGCUUCGCAGUGUCCUGAACCUGAUGUGGUUCUGCCCGUCCCUCCCCUGGCUUCACCCCACCUGGGCCAUUUGUCCUUUAUCCCAGGCACACUGUCACCCAGUGCUAGGAGCCACUGCUUGAGGAAGCCCGGGUUUGUCACUGCCUGCAGCCACAGACUACUCCUGCCUCAAAACGACGUCACGACACUGCAGAGCAGGCCAGCUCCAGCUGCACAUGGCCGCCUCCAUCUCUACACAGCUUUGAGUCACAGAAAUGUCACGUGACCUGCAGAAGCCAAGGGUCCUCCUCCUUGGGGGUCUCUUUUACUGACUCUGUGACUGCCAGCCGGGGAUCUUCUGCCCCCAGGGGACACCGGGCCAUGUCUGGGGACAUCUGUGGUUGUCUUGACUAGGGGUGCUCCUGGCAUGGAGUGGGUGGGGGCCAGGGAUGCUGCUCAGCACCCUGCAGUGCCCAGGACGGCCCCACCCUUGAGAACAGUUCAGUCCCAAUGUCCACAGGGCCCAGGGGGAGAGACCCAGCCCAACUCACAGAAGCCUCAGGACAGGUGAUGGUGGGCUGUGUCGACCACCUGUUCAUGAGAGAGACACAGGGAGGAGAGGGGGCACCUGCCAACCGUUUCAUGCGCUGGCAGAGACCGGGAAUAGCUUGGACAGAUCGUUCCUGGAUAACACAAGACAGCUUCCUGUUUCAAAAACAAAACUCCGGCUGGGAGCAGGAGCUCAUGCCUAUAAUCCCAGCACUUUGGGAGGCUGAGGCGGGCAGAUCACUUGAGCCCACAAGUUGGAGACCAGCCUGACCAACAUGGCGAAACCCCGUCUCUACUAAAAAUACAAAAAUCAGCUGGGUGUGGUGGCAGGUGCCUGUAAUCCCAGUAACUUGGGAGGCUGAGGCAGGAGAAUCGCUUGAACCUGGGAGGCAGAGGUUGCAGUGAGCCGAGAUCGCACUACUGCACUCCAGCCUGGGCGACAGAGCAAGACUUGGUCUCAAAAACACACAUAAAAAACCAAAACUCCAAGCGCAGAGCACCCAGUGCCAUCUUCAUCCGAAUGCAGCACUCCUGGCUGGGUCACGGCCACCCCUAGGCCCAUGCCUGGUCAGGGGCUUGUCUUGUCUAUGACCAGGCAGGUCACAGGCGGGAGGGACCCAGGUCAGGCUCAGCUGCUGCCCCACCGGAAACAGACCCAGCAGCCUUGCCUAGACCCCAGGCGGGUCCAGGUUUUUCUACUGGGACAGAGAGGGUGGGCCAGGAUGGGGGCGUCUCUCAGCUCUGCAAGCUGGAGAAUUAACUCCGGGACUUGAGCUCGGGGUCCCCGCUGGGCGCAGGCGUGGGCUUCAGUGGGAAGGAAGCCCCUCGUUGGGUUCUCAGCACGGACAGCUGGAUGGCAUCACUGGAUUCCCUCACCUGGAUCCGGAGACAAAAGGGGAGAAAACGAUGAGGCAGCGCCCAGGCCUGCGGGGUUGAGUCAGCCGUAAUAACAGCCCGUUGGCCCUACGUGUCUGUUGUUUGCAUUUCUGUUGCACAAGUUAUUAGCUCGGGGCGGGGCGGGACGGGGAGGUCGGUGGUAGAUGGGACGGUGUCUCCCAGCCCUUGGCACCAUCAGACUGUCCUGGCCAGCAGCUCUGGACCCUCUGCCCCACCGGGAAGAGAGGGGGCUGCGUCCCACCUGUUCCAGAUGCCAGCCUGCACGCAGCUUGUGCCCUGAGCUGUGUCUGCUUUUGG